CUAAAGAGAGAGCACACUGCAACCUCUUUAAGACCACCAGAUCGCCUCACAAACUUUGCAUUCUGCAUGUCAAGCAAUGUAACUCUUUCUCCAGGGAGGUUACUGUCUUCCAAAUGUUCUUGAUAGAUUGAUCUCGCUCUUUCAAGCUCCAUUUGUGUGGAUUGUUUCUCCUUGUUCAUGGAUAGAGUUAGGUGGAAAAUAUCAAGGG
This 208-nucleotide unclassified non-coding RNA is filed under the name Hevea brasiliensis (rubber tree). Lineage: Eukaryota; Viridiplantae; Streptophyta; Magnoliopsida; Malpighiales; Euphorbiaceae. The record is from RNAcentral.